GUUUGAAUAUCUCAUCCAUUAAAACAAGGAUUGAAAC
This is a non-coding RNA of Methanotorris igneus Kol 5, 37 nucleotides long. NCBI's taxonomy places the organism in Archaea, Methanobacteriati, Methanobacteriota, Methanococci, Methanococcales, Methanocaldococcaceae. The record is from Rfam.